RNAcentral lists this long non-coding RNA (7144 nucleotides) under Citrus sinensis (sweet orange). Its description in RNAcentral is "long non-coding RNA (CSIN_LNC003827)". The record is from RNAcentral. Lineage: Eukaryota; Viridiplantae; Streptophyta; Magnoliopsida; Sapindales; Rutaceae.
UGGGGUCUGAUUCGUACGUGCUCGGCAACUACAUUAUGAAAACAGAUUCAGAAAAUGCAAAAUGCAAAUGGCACAUAUUGCGUAAAACAAAUUAUAAAAAUAUUCCUUGAAACAAAUGCAAAACACGCGACGCGAAUCUUUGUGAGUCUUGACAGAAAAUAUGGAAUAGAAGUGUUGGUCAAGCUCUCCAGUGCUUUAUCUGAUGGCAGAGAGGUAAUCAUGGUUGAUCAAAUAGGUGAAGGAAAUGAGCCAAAACAAAUUUCUGGGUUCUGAUUCAAAAUCGAACCAAAAAUGCUUGGUAGGGAAACAAAUUUCUGGCUUCAGAAUUAAAAUCUUACUUCUGUUUUUGUGAGCAGAGCAAUGGGAUUCUUCUGAUACACCUCCCUGCAACCAAAGGAUGUAUCGGUUAAGUUUACACUCUUCGAGCGAGUGUCGGCUCCAAAAAAAUUAGAGAGAAAGAGCAAGAUUGAAAAGAGAAGUUGAGAAAUAGAAGAAGAGUCGAGAAAGAUAAGAAACAAUUCAUUCCGUAUAUCCUUACAUAUACCCCUUUGUCUAUAGAAGUUUCAAUUCAGCUCAGCAAACAACUUGUAACAGAAAAUAUAACAGCAAAAAUAAACCAGCAAAUAUAGAUCCCUAAAUAAUCGGAGUAACAAUAAAUCAAUUCCACUACACGAUAAAGUCUCUAAACCACCCAGGGGGGGCCUUCUCAAUCGUGUGCCUUUCUGUGGUUCAUUACAAGCUGCUUCGUCCUCAACAUGUGACGUGGUUUCUUUCUUGGACUGCCCUUCUUGUAAACAUUCAAGUUGGUCCAACUGAAUUUCGAAGGUUGUAUCAUUCUUUGGUAAAAAAUAAGUAGAGUGGAGAAGUCUUAGAUGAAUUAACUAAUGGACUACGGGUGUCAUUACUUCUCGGAUUAGGAAAUCAAACUCAUGAACAACAUUCAUUUUACAAAAUAGAGGCAUAAAUUAGGAUCAGAAUCGUGAAGCUCACCUGAAUUUGAGAACAAAGAAUGAGAAAUUUAUUCUCUAAAGGGAAAUGAGAAUCAAUCUCUCAUUCCUAAGAGUUUCCAUUUUUCCUCCAUUAAUAUUUUAAUAUGGGAAAAGGACAUUCAACCCCCCAACGUUUAGGAAAAGGGACACUGCUGUACCGUACAUCCGCCUUGGCCGUAAAGCAGAAUCGAGCCAACUCUAACUCAUAUUCAACUACCAAGGCAAGUAGGAUACGAACGAAAGUAUACUUUACAACUGGAGAGAACACUUUAUUAUAAUCAAUACCUUCCUUUUGAGCAAAACCUUUUGCUACAAGCUUUGCCUUGUACCGAAAAGUUGUUUGAUUUGGAGAUCCUUGCUUCUUGGUGUAGACCCAUUUAUUGCCAAUAGCCCUUUUCCCCUUUAGUAACUCCACAAGUUCCCAAGUCUGGUUUUGAUGGAGAGAUUUCAUUUCUUCUUCCAUGGCUAACUUCCAUUGAUCACCUUUACUGCUGCGUAAUGCUUGGGGAUGUCAUCAUCAAUAACUGGAAGUACAUAGACUACCACCAUAUCUUUAGUAAGUCAUUCGGGUUUCUUUAUUUCUCUUCUUGGCCUCCUUGUUACUAUAAAAUUAUCAUUAUUUACAUCAUCAAUUGUUUCUUCAUUUUGUGGGAUAUGAGAAGAAACAACAUCUUCUUCAACUCUAGGUGUCACCUUCAUAGUUGAACCAUUUUCUGAUGUAGAACUAACUGGUACAUAUGAAGUUGCAUCAAACUCCACCCACUGCAAUAUCUAUGUGGCUUGUUCUUCACCUGUUGGGAAAUUGAAGCUUUCAUCAUUGAAGCUUUAUCAAACUUGACAUCUCUAUUAUACAAAAAAACAUUUAUCUUCGAGAUCCCAAAGUUUGAAGCCCUUUACUCCACCUUUGAAUCUCACAAAGAUAGUUUUUCUAGCACGAGGAUUCAGUUUACCAUCUUUGACAUGAUAAUAAGCUGGACACCCGAAUAUACGAAGGGAAUCAUAGUCUUGUGCAUGCUUUCCAGACCACAUUUUCAUAUGAGUUUUACCUCAAAUUGCCGCAGAAUGCAACCGGUUUAUCAAGUGACUUGCGUAGCUCACAAUUUCAGCCCAAAUUUUUUUAUCUAAACCAGCAUUAGAUAACAUACACCGUACUUUCUCCUACAAAGUACGAUUCAUACGCUCAGCCACACCGUUCUGUUGCGAGUAUAUCUCACCGUGAAAUGUCUUUUAAUACCCUCGUUCUGGCAUACUUGCAAGAAUAAAUAAGAAGUAUAUUCACCCUCAUUGUCAGAACGCAAUACUUUGAUCUUUCUGUCAGUUUGAGUCUCCACCAAUUUUUUUCAUUUCACGAAAAUCUCUAAAACCUCAUCCUUUGCUCGCAUGGUGUACACCCAUACACGUCUAGAGAAAUCAUAAACAAAUGUAACAAAAUAAUGGCUUCCACCAAUUGAUGCAGUCUUGGUUGGUCUCCAUACAUCACUGUAAACAUAUUCAAGGAUCUCACGAGUAUCGUGAUUAGCUGUAACAAACUUGACCAUUAUUUUCUUGCCUACUACACAAUGCUCACAGAAGUUUAAUUUACAGGUAUUGGUACCUUUUAAGAGUCCGUGCCUCAUCAGAGUUUGCAAAGACUUUUCUCCAGUAUGUCCUAAUCGUACAUGUCAUAGCUUGGUGGUGUCACUGUGUGCCUCAGCAACAUUUGCUUCAUCAGUUAUACCUCCCUUCAAAUAGUACAGAUUGUGACGCCGAACCCCUUGAAGAAUCACCAUAGCCCCAUGUGUAAACUUCAUUGUGCCAUUUUCAAUGGUAAUCUUGUAGCCUUUAGCUUCCAAAGCACCCACAGAAAUUAGAUUUUUCUUUAAAGUUGGAACAAAUCUAACCUCUUUGAGUUCUCUGACCAUUCCAUCGAAUAACUUGAGUCGAACUGUGCUUAUCCCCAUCGUUCGACAAGGUCGAUCAUUCCCCAUCACAACUUCACCAGAUUCCAAUUCGCUGAAAUCUGUAAACCAUUCCCUAACAUGACACAAAUGGUAGGUCUCUCCGGUAUCAAGUAUCUAUUCGCUUGAACUUGCAACAUACACCGUAGAUGUAAUAAACAGUGAGUAGUCUGAGUCUCCUUCCUCACGUGCCAUGUUUGCUACUACUGAUUUCUUCUUAUCUCUAUUUUGGGCUUUUGGGCAAUCUUUCCUCCAAUAACCCUUUUCAUGACAAAAAAACACACUCGUCUCAAGCUAUAUUUUUACUUCUCGAUUUAGAUCGAGAAUUCUUUCCACCACGCUUCUUCUUUUUCUCCAUCGCCCAAUCUCUGCUCACAAAAGCUUCAGACGAUGCUCGUUCAAAAUUUUUAUCAUUAUUUUGAAUCUCCAAGUUAGUCAAUGUUGUACAAACAUCUUUGAAGACGAUCACACUCUUCCCAUAUAUCAAGGUAGUCACAAAAUGACAAUAUUCCUCUGGUAGUAAGUGUAACAGAAUCAUAGCUUUGACUUCAUCCUUAAUAUUUUCAUCAAGAUUCUUCAAAUCAACAAGUAACUUUUCAAAUCUUGAGACAUGAUCGUGCAUUGACACCCAGACUUCAUUCGAAAGCCAUAUACUUGGCUCAUUGCAUGAAAAUGAUUUUCAGAACUUUUCAGCAGAUACUUCUCCUCCAAUGUACGCCAUAAAGUCAUCGCACAUUCUUCAUCUUUCACCAAGUAUUUCACCUCCUUGGUUAAACAAGAUCUGAUCUAACCACAGGCUUUCUCGUUCAUACGAUCCCAAAUUUCUUCAUCAUACAAGUGUCUUUUAUUUUUCAGAACAACAUGGAGAUUGAUUUGAAUAAGGGCAUCCAUAACUUCGCACCUCCACAUGCCGAAGUUGAUUUUCCCAUCAAACUUUUCAACAUUGAUUUUCUGGCCUCCUAUAACAGGUGUUGAAUAGCGAUUUGACAAAUCUCGCCUCCCACCUGAAGUAUCUCCUAAAAUAGUCUCGGUAGAUCUCUCCCCAAUUCUGGAAGUUUCAUAUUCUACAAUUUUCUCAACGAACUAUUUCCACUUGAAAAACAGCCUCUAUGAUGUUAAUUUUGGGUGAAUAAAUGCACCAAGAAAGUUCUCAGGAGAUUGGAUGGGAACUCGGUCCCAAUUAAAAACCAUAAUCCUUAGACUCUUAUCGCCUUGUUGACAGAACUUUCCUAAACAUGCAAAAAUAUACACUACUUACAAUAGACUGUCUCUCAAGUAUAAAUGGUCGUCUUCACUGUAUUUGUAAAUAGUACCGUAUACGUGAACAAUACCGUAUCCCCCAAGUACGAACCGUCGGCUCUGAUACCACUUGUGCGCGGAAUGCGGAAUCAAGCGCACCAAAUAAUUAUAGAAAAAUAAAUGACACAAUUAUUUAACGUGGUUCAGUAAUUAAACCUACAUCCAUGGAGGCAAGAAAGAAUAAUUGUUUAUUUAACAAUUAAUAAAGUACAAAUAUUUGAGUAACAAAUCUCACUUCCCAGAAACCCAAAUAUACCAAGUACUCUCACACUCUGCAGAAAAGAUAAAUUCUCCAGACACACUUCUCUCACUUCUCUAAAAAACUUAAAAAAUUAUAAGCUUAACAAAUUUUUGAGAUAAAUGAAAUGAAUGAAAUCUUUAGUUAUUUAUAGUUGAAAUGAGUUAUUAUGCAAAGAAUAAAAUAAUUAAAAAUAUAAUUUUUAAUUAUUAUUAUUUUUCAAACAUUUUGGCUUCAUCCCUUUCUCCAUUCAAACAUUUUGGCUUCAUCCCCCUUGUCCAUUCUUUCUUUUCCGCUGGCUUCCUUACAAUUGUUGGCUCCAACCAACAAUUUGUUUGACUUCAACAAAGACGGCUAAAAUAUGGAGCAGGUUUUUAGUGAUUGCCAUAAUCCAGCUCUUGUUUGCUUUUAUCAGUUCAUUGAGAGACCAAAUAAAGCCACCGUUUUUAUCAUUUUAUUUUCGGGAUUGUAUGCUUGAAAUUCAGGAAAGUAAGCUCAUCAUUGUGCCCUUCUAGUCUUUCAUUUCGUUGGCUGCGUAUUCGUCUUUCGGGCAAAUGCUAUUUCCAUGUCUAUAUGCUUAAUUCCAAUUAUAGUCCUCUAAGCAACUGAUUGCUGUGACUUAUGACUGAAAAUUCUUGGACAUUGUGUUUUUGACAAAUCCAAGCACUCACGCAGUCACGACCUUUCACGGAUUCAUGUGGAAACAAUUUAGCAAGAUUGACUUGAUUGCAUCCCAAAAUGAAUACACCAUUUAAAAUAGGCUAACAUGUACAAUAUUCUAUGAGAACAAUAAAAAACAAACAUAACAGGUAAAAUUAUGUAGAAAAUCUGGCAGAAUCUCCUUUCUAGUUUUGACAUUUCUCCCCUGCAAGUGUUGUAAAAUAAACACUUUUCAGAACGAUUCAACAUUCAACCUCAUACGGUAACAUCCAUACAUCAAUGUGAUCAAUUAUUGUUCAACAUCAUUAUCGACAAUGCUUUAAAGGCCGUUAUGGGUCUCUGCUUUCCGGGUUUUGGUCACCAUCUCUUUGCUGGCUAUUUUCCAGGCCAUUAAUUUGACAAAAUGCAUUUUGAUAUAUGUAUAAAAAUUAGUAUGAAAAAUAGCUUAUUAUAUGAAAUAAUUCUAUUUAAGAAAAACGUUUCACUACAAAAUAAUUUUUUUUCAUUGUCUCUUAUAAUUUUUGUCCUAAUUUUUGUUUUUUUUUUCCUAGGGUAUAAAAAUAUCAUUAUUCUUGCAAGGAAUAUUGCAAGCAGAUCCCCUUUUUACCAUUUCUGGAAAAAAAAAGUUGUGGCAGACUGAUAGUUGGGCAGACUCAUCUAUUCAUUAAUUGGUAAAUCCGUUGGGCUAAGUGUGUGUAUAUACACACACACAAAUAUAUACACACACACAUAUAUAUAGUUCUUUUCUAUUCCGAACACUCUUAUUUUUUUAUUAUGCGAUUAUGUUGUUAAACCAUGCGGUUUAAUAAAGUCAAUGCAGACAUGCUAUUAAACAGCAUGGUUUAAUAAUGUGUUCGCAUUAAAAAAAAUGAGAACGAUCAUAUAUAUAUACACACACACACAAACACUUUUAAGUUGUAUGGUUUAAUAGAGUCAAAUUUAAUGUUAUUAAAUUGCACGACUUUAUAGUGCAUUUAAAAUGACACAACCUGACCUAACCCAUCUGCCGGAUCUAAGGCGAAUCGUGUAAAAACUCAUUUUAUUACUUAUCUCAUGCUCAUACUUAGCUCAUAUCAUAAAUUUAAUCCAUGAAUAUAUAAAACUAGCCUCGACCCUCUACUAUAACAUCUAUGCCUCAUCCAAAAUGUAUUCAAAACUUCUACACUUCACAUCUCACUCUAUGCACAUAUAUUUCAAUUAUAUACAUAUAACAUGAUAUGCAAAAACUUGGGGUCUGAUUCGUACGUGCUCGGCAACUACAUUAUGAAAACAGAUUCAGAAAAUGCAAAAUGCAAAUGGCACAUAUUGCGUAAAACAAAUUAUAAAAAUAUUCCUUGAAACAAAUGCAAAACACGCGACGCGAAUCUUUGUGAGUCUUGACAGAAAAUAUGGAAUAGAAGUGUUGGUCAAGCUCUCCAGUGCUUUAUCUGAUGGCAGAGAGGUAAUCAUGGUUGAUCAAAUAGGUGAAGGAAAUGAGCCAAAACAAAUUUCUGGGUUCUGAUUCAAAAUCGAACCAAAAAUGCUUGGUAGGGAAACAAAUUUCUGGCUUCAGAAUUAAAAUCUUACUUCUGUUUUUGUGAGCAGAGCAAUGGGAUUCUUCUGAUACACCUCCCUGCAACCAAAGGAUGUAUCGGUUAAGUUUACACUCUUCGAGCGAGUGUCGGCUCCAAAAAAAUUAGAGAGAAAGAGCAAGAUUGAAAAGAGAAGUUGAGAAAUAGAAGAAGAGUCGAGAAAGAUAAGAAACAAUUCAUUCCGUAUAUCCUUACAUAUACCCCUUUGUCUAUAGAAGUUUCAAUUCAGCUCAGCAAACAACUUGUAACAGAAAAUAUAACAGCAAAAAUAAACCAGCAAAUAUAGAUCCCUAAAUAAUCGGAGUAACAAUAAAUCAAUUCCACUACACGAUAAAGUCUCUAAACCACCCAGGGGGGGCCUUCUCAAUCGUGUGCCUUUCUGUGGUUCAUUACAAGCUGCUUCGUCCUCAACAUGUGACGUGGUUUCUUUCUUGGACUGCCCUUCUUGUA